GAUGAACGCUAGCGGCAGGCCUAAUACAUGCAAGUCAAGGGGAUAGCAAUAUCACCGGCGGACGGGUGCGUAACGCGUACACAACGUGCCCAAGGGCGGAGGAAAGCGGCGGGAAACUGCCGGUAAUACUCCAUGGUGUUGUUGAGUGGCAUCACUUAACAACUAAAGUGCAAGCGCCCUUGGAUCGGUGUGCGUUCGAUUAGCUAGUUGGCGGGGUAACGCCCACCAAGGCUUCGAUCGAUAGGGGGUNUGAGAGCAUGACCCCCCCANACGGGUACUGAGACACGGACCCGACUCCUACGGGAGGCAGCAGUAAGGAAUAUUGGACAAUGGGCGGGAAGCCUGAU
RNAcentral lists this ribosomal RNA (347 nucleotides) under uncultured bacterium. RNAcentral's name for it is "bacterial SSU rRNA". It matches the Rfam family "Bacterial small subunit ribosomal RNA", at positions 28 to 387 of the family's 1533-position model. The record is from RNAcentral.